GUAACUAUGUCAGAAUUAUAUGAGUUAGCUUUAAGCGUUAAUUAUGAAGGAUUUACUUCUGGUUAUA
RNAcentral lists this transfer RNA (67 nucleotides) under Moniezia benedeni. RNAcentral describes it as "tRNA-Leu". Lineage: Eukaryota; Metazoa; Platyhelminthes; Cestoda; Cyclophyllidea; Anoplocephalidae. The record is from RNAcentral.